This 424-nucleotide ribosomal RNA is filed under the name uncultured bacterium. Its description in RNAcentral is "bacterial SSU rRNA". It matches the Rfam family "Bacterial small subunit ribosomal RNA", at positions 917 to 1344 of the family's 1533-position model. The record is from RNAcentral.
GGGCCCGCACAAGCGGUGGAGCAUGUGGUUUAAUUCGAUGAUACGCGAGGAACCUUACCAGGGCUUAAAUGUAAGUUGCAUAAAUCAGAGAUGAUUUUUUCUUCGGACUACUUACAAGGUGCUGCAUGGUUGUCGUCAGCUCGUGCCGUGAGGUGUCAGGUUAAGUCCUAUAACGAGCGCAACCCCUGUCGUUAGUUGCCAUCAAGUAAUGUUGGGUACUCUAGCGAGACUGCCGGUGCAAACCGAGAGGAAGGUGGGGAUGACGUCAAAUCAUCACGGCCCUUACGUCCUGGGCUACACACGUGCUACAAUGGCCGGUACAGAGAGCAGCCACUACGCGAGUAGGAGCGAAUCUUCAAAACCGGUCUCAGUUCGGAUCGCAGUCUGCAACUCGACUGCGUGAAGCUGGAAUCGCUAGUAAUCG